RNAcentral lists this ribosomal RNA (253 nucleotides) under uncultured bacterium. RNAcentral describes it as "partial 16S ribosomal RNA". It matches the Rfam family "Bacterial small subunit ribosomal RNA", at positions 524 to 776 of the family's 1533-position model. The record is from RNAcentral.
UACGUAGGGCGCAAGCGUUAUCCGGAAUUAUUGGGCGUAAAGAGCUCGUAGGCGGUUUGUCGCGUCUGCCGUGAAAGUCCGGGCUCAACUCCGGAUCUGCGGUGGGUACGGGCAGACUAGAGUGAUGUAGGGGGAGACUGGAAUUCCUGGUGUAGCGGUGGAAUGCGCAGAUAUCAGGAGGAACACCGAUGGCGAAGGCAGGUCUCUGGGCCACUACUGACGCUGAGAAGCGAAAGCAUGGGGAGCGAACAGG